RNAcentral lists this long non-coding RNA (240 nucleotides) under Elaeis guineensis (African oil palm). Its description in RNAcentral is "long non-coding RNA (EGUI_LNC063440)". Lineage: Eukaryota; Viridiplantae; Streptophyta; Magnoliopsida; Arecales; Arecaceae. The record is from RNAcentral.
CCUUUUCAUAGAUCGAUGAUCUCCACUACUGGUAGGUGUGGUAUGAAGCUCUCACUGAUACCGAGCAGCAACACAGGUCAUCCGACCUCUUCAGAUCAUCCACUCGAAGCCCUGAUCGAAUCUUCCUUCGUGGGAGUGCUAGCUCACGUCAAAGGCUCUGGAUUGCUGAUCCAAGCUCCUUUCUUCAGAUCUCCUGGACUUCUCUAGAUUAGAAGAUAAAGCUUUACGAGGAGGUGGUGG